GCGUUUCAUUAGCUAGUUGGUAGGGUAAUGGCCUACCAAGGCAACGAUGAGUAGCUGGUCUGAGAGGAUGAUCAGCCACACUGGAACUGAAACACGGUCCAGACUCCUACGGGAGGCAGCAGUGGGGAAUAUUGCGCAAUGGGCGAAAGCCUGACGCAGCAACGCCGUGUGAGGGAUGAAGGCUUUCGGGUCGUAAACCUCUGUCGGAAGGGAAGAACGGGCAUUGGUCUAAUAGGCCUUUGUUUUGACGGUACCUUUAGAGGAAGCACCGGCUAACUCCGUGCCAGCAGCCGCGGUAAUACGGAGGGUGCAAGCGUUAUUCGGAAUUACUGGGCGUAAAGCGCACGUAGGCGGCCUUGUAAGUCAGGGGUGAAAUCCCACGGCUCAACCGUGGAACUGCCUUUGAAACUGCAGGGCUUGAAUCCUGGAGAGGGUGGCGGAAUUCCUGGUGUAGGAGUGAAAUCCGUAGAUAUCAGGAGGAACACCGGUGGCGAAGGCGGCCACCUGGACAGGCAUUGACGCUGAGGUGCGAAAGUGUGGGGAGCAAACAGGAUUAGAUACCCUGGUAGUCCACACCGUAAACGAUGGACGCUAGGUGCCGGGGA
RNAcentral lists this ribosomal RNA (605 nucleotides) under uncultured sulfate-reducing bacterium. RNAcentral's name for it is "bacterial SSU rRNA". It matches the Rfam family "Bacterial small subunit ribosomal RNA", at positions 233 to 829 of the family's 1533-position model. The record is from RNAcentral.